Molecule: ribosomal RNA, 253 nt
Filed under: uncultured bacterium
Lineage: Bacteria
Description: partial 16S ribosomal RNA
Rfam family: Bacterial small subunit ribosomal RNA
Source: RNAcentral
UACGAAGGGGGCUAGCGUUGCUCGGAAUUACUGGGCGUAAAGCGCGUGUAGGCGGCUUGGCAAGUCGGGUGUGAAAGCCCUCAGCUCAACUGAGGAAGUGCGCCCGAAACUGCUGAGCUCGAGUACCGGAGAGGGUAGCGGAAUUCCCCAAGUAGAGGUGAAAUUCGUAGAUAUGGGGAGGAACACCGGUGGCGAAGGCGGCUACCUGGACGGUCACUGACGCUGAGACGCGAAAGCGUGGGUAGCAAACAGG